Molecule: ribosomal RNA, 442 nt
Filed under: uncultured bacterium
Lineage: Bacteria
Description: partial 16S ribosomal RNA
Rfam family: Bacterial small subunit ribosomal RNA
Source: RNAcentral
CCUACGGGAGGCAGCAGUAGGGAAUUUUUCACAAUGGGCGAAAGCCUGAUGGAGCAACGCCGCGUGCAGGAUGAAGGCCUUCGGGUUGUAAACUGCUUUUAUAAGCGAGAAAUAUGAUGGUAACUUAUGAAUAAGGAUCGGCUAACUACGUGCCAGCAGCCGCGGUCAUACGUAGGAUCCGAGCAUUAUCCGGAGUGACUGGGUGUAAAGAGUUGCGUAGGUGGCAUAAUAAGUAGCUAGUGAAAUCUGGUGGCUCAACCAUUCAGACUAUUAGCUAAACUGUUAAGCUCGAGACCGUUAGGGGUAACUGGAAUUUCUAGUGUAGGAGUGAAAUCCGGAGAUAUUAGAAGGAACACCAAUAGCGUAGGCAGGUUGCUGGGACGGUUCUGACACUAAGGCACGAAAGCGUAGGGAGCAAACGGGAUUAGAUACCCUAGUAGUC